Molecule: ribosomal RNA, 362 nt
Filed under: uncultured bacterium
Lineage: Bacteria
Description: bacterial SSU rRNA
Rfam family: Bacterial small subunit ribosomal RNA
Source: RNAcentral
AGCGAACGCUGGCGGCAGGCUUAACACAUGCAAGUCGAACGGGCGUAGCAAUACGUCAGUGACAGACGGGUGAGUAACGCGUGGGAACGUACCUUUUGGUUCGGAACAACCCAGGGAAACUUGGGCUAAUACCGGAUAAGCCCUUACGGGGAAAGAUUUAUCGCCGAAAGAUCGGCCCGCGUCUGAUUAGCUUGUUGGUGAGGUAACGGCUCACCAAGGCGACGAUCAGUAGCUGGUCUGAGAGGAUGAUCAGCCACAUUGGGACUGAGACACGGCCCAAACUCCUACGGGAGGCAGCAGUGGGGAAGUAUUGGACAAUGGGCGGCAAGCCUGAUCCAGCCAUGCCGCGUGAGUGAUGAAGG